This is a long non-coding RNA of Etheostoma spectabile (orangethroat darter), 95 nucleotides long. RefSeq lists it as uncharacterized. The transcript has 4 exons. NCBI's taxonomy places the organism in Eukaryota, Metazoa, Chordata, Actinopteri, Perciformes, Percidae. The record is from RefSeq and is a predicted model, not a curated record.
AUAACGAAAUUAAUAACUAUCGCAAUAUUUAGGGCCCUAGCGCCGGCAGCGGCAAAGGCCCUAUUGAAACUGAAGGAAUUCUUCCUUCUUUCUUU